GGAGAGAUGGCUGAGUGGACUAAAGUGGCGGAUUGCUAAUCCGUUGUACAAUUUUUUUUUGUGCCGAAGGUUCGAAUCCCUCUCUUUCCG
This 90-nucleotide transfer RNA is filed under the name Triticum aestivum (bread wheat). It matches the Rfam family "tRNA". From Rfam's summary of the family: Transfer RNA (tRNA) molecules are approximately 80 nucleotides in length. Their secondary structure includes four short double-helical elements and three loops (D, anti-codon, and T loops). The record is from Rfam by way of RNAcentral. Lineage: Eukaryota; Viridiplantae; Streptophyta; Magnoliopsida; Poales; Poaceae.